RNAcentral lists this ribosomal RNA (357 nucleotides) under uncultured bacterium. RNAcentral describes it as "partial 16S ribosomal RNA". It matches the Rfam family "Bacterial small subunit ribosomal RNA", at positions 338 to 692 of the family's 1533-position model. The record is from RNAcentral.
CCUACGGGAGGCAGCAGUGAGGAAUAGUGGUCAAUGGACGGAAGUCUGAACCAGCCAUGCCGCGUGCAGGAAGACGGCGCUAUGAGUUGUAAACUGCUUUUGUACAAGGGUAAACCGGAAUACGUGUAUGCAGCUGAAAGUACGGUACGAAGAAGGAUCGGCUAACUCCGUGCCAGCAGCCGCGGUAAUACGGAGGAUCCAAGCGUUAUCCGGAUUGAUUGGGUUUAAAGGGUGCGUAGGCGGAUUGAUAAGUUAGAGGUGAAAUGUCCGAGCUUAACUCGGGAACUGCCUCUAAUACUGUUGCUCUAGAGCGUAGCUGCGGUCGGCGGCAUGUCUUGUGUCGCGGUGAAAUGCUUA